AACGAGACCUUAACCUGCUAAAUAGCCAGGCUAGCUUUGGCUGGUCGCCGGCUUCUUAGAGGGACUUUCGGCUCAAGCCGAUGGAAGUUUGAGGCAAUAACAGGUUAAAUUUCACAGGCCUGUAAAAGU
This 129-nucleotide ribosomal RNA is filed under the name Trematosphaeria sp. RNAcentral's name for it is "partial small subunit ribosomal RNA". The stretch from base 1 to 105 matches the Rfam family "Eukaryotic small subunit ribosomal RNA", at positions 1334 to 1461 of the family's 1831-position model. The record is from RNAcentral. Lineage: Eukaryota; Fungi; Ascomycota; Dothideomycetes; Pleosporales; Trematosphaeriaceae.